UACGUAGGUGGCAAGCGUUAUCCGGAAUUAUUGGGCGUAAAGCGCGCGUAGGCGGUUUUUUAAGUCUGAUGUGAAAGCCCACGGCUCAACCGUGGAGGGUCAUUGGAAACUGGAAAACUUGAGUGCAGAAGAAGAAAGUGGAAUUCCAUGUGUAGCGGUGAAAUGCGCAGAGAUAUGGAGGAACACCAGUGGCGAAGGCGACUUUCNUGGUCUGUAACUGACGCUGAUGUGCGAAAGCGUGGGGAUCAAACAG
RNAcentral lists this ribosomal RNA (253 nucleotides) under uncultured Staphylococcus sp. Its description in RNAcentral is "partial 16S ribosomal RNA". It matches the Rfam family "Bacterial small subunit ribosomal RNA", at positions 524 to 775 of the family's 1533-position model. The record is from RNAcentral. Lineage: Bacteria; Bacillati; Bacillota; Bacilli; Caryophanales; Staphylococcaceae.